AUUGAACGCUGGCGGCAUGCCUUACACAUGCAAGUCGAACGGUAACAGGUCUUCGGAUGCUGACGAGUGGCGAACGGGUGAGUAAUACAUCGGAACGUGCCCAGACGUGGGGGAUAACGAGGCGAAAGCCUUGCUAAUACCGCAUACGAUCUAAGGAUGAAAGCAGGGGACCGCAAGGCCUUGCGCGUUUGGAGCGGCCGAUGGCAGAUUAGGUAGUUGGUGGGAUAAAAGCUUACCAAGCCGACGAUCUGUAGCUGGUCUGAGAGGACGACCAGCCACACUGGGACUGAGACACGGCCCAGACUCCUACGCGAGGCAGCAGUGGGGAAUUUUGGACAAUGGGCGAAAGCCUGAUCCAGCAAUGCCGCGUGCAGGAUGAAGGCCUUCGGGUUGUAAACUGCUUUUGUACGGAACGAAAAGGCUCUGGCUAAUACCUGGGGCACAUGACGGUACCGUAAGAAUAAGCACCGGCUAACUACGUG
This 482-nucleotide ribosomal RNA is filed under the name uncultured bacterium. RNAcentral's name for it is "partial 16S ribosomal RNA". It matches the Rfam family "Bacterial small subunit ribosomal RNA", at positions 30 to 507 of the family's 1533-position model. The record is from RNAcentral.